RNAcentral lists this ribosomal RNA (700 nucleotides) under Streptomyces coelicoflavus. RNAcentral describes it as "bacterial SSU rRNA". It matches the Rfam family "Bacterial small subunit ribosomal RNA", at positions 33 to 748 of the family's 1533-position model. Lineage: Bacteria; Bacillati; Actinomycetota; Actinomycetes; Kitasatosporales; Streptomycetaceae. The record is from RNAcentral.
GGGCCAGUGCGGGGUCUUACCAUGCAAGUCGAACGAUGAACCACCUUCGGGUGGGGAUUAGUGGCGAACGGGUGAGUAACACGUGGGCAAUCUGCCCUUCACUCUGGGACAAGCCCUGGAAACGGGGUCUAAUACCGGAUACUGACCUGCCAAGGCAUCUUGGCGGGUCGAAAGCUCCGGCGGUGAAGGAUGAGCCCGCGGCCUAUCAGCUUGUUGGUGAGGUAAUGGCUCACCAAGGCGACGACGGGUAGCCGGCCUGAGAGGGCGACCGGCCACACUGGGACUGAGACACGGCCCAGACUCCUACGGGAGGCAGCAGUGGGGAAUAUUGCACAAUGGGCGAAAGCCUGAUGCAGCGACGCCGCGUGAGGGAUGACGGCCUUCGGGUUGUAAACCUCUUUCAGCAGGGAAGAAGCGAAAGUGACGGUACCUGCAGAAGAAGCGCCGGCUAACUACGUGCCAGCAGCCGCGGUAAUACGUAGGGCGCAAGCGUUGUCCGGAAUUAUUGGGCGUAAAGAGCUCGUAGGCGGCUUGUCACGUCGGUUGUGAAAGCCCGGGGCUUAACCCCGGGUCUGCAGUCGAUACGGGCAGGCUAGAGUUCGGUAGGGGAGAUCGGAAUUCCUGGUGUAGCGGUGAAAUGCGCAGAUAUCAGGAGGAACACCGGUGGCGAAGGCGGAUCUCUGGGCCGAUACUGACGCUG